UGCAAGUCGAGCGGUAACAGGUGUAGCAAUACAUGCUGACGAGCGGCGAACGGGUGAGUAAUGCUUCGGAAUCUGCCCAAUGGUGGGGAAUAACCAGCCGAAAGGUUGGCUAAUACCGCAUAAGUCCUACGGGGGAAAGCAGGGGAUCGUAAGACCUUGCGCCGAUGGAUGAGCCGAAGUCGGAUUAGCUAGUUGGUAGGGUAACGGCCUACCAAGGCGACGAUCCGUAGCUGGUCUGAGAGGACGACCAGCCACACUGGGACUGAGACACGGCCCAGACUCCUACGGGAGGCAGCAGUGGGGAAUAUUGGACAAUGGGGGAAACCCUGAUCCAGCGACGCCGCGUGUGUGAAGAAGGCCUGCGGGUUGUAAAGCACUUUUAGUGGGGAUGAAAAGCUCAGGGCUAACACCUCUGGGUCUUGACCUAACCCAAAGAAAAGGCACCGGCUAACUCUGUGCCAGCAGCCGCGGUAAUACAGAGGGUGCGAGCGUUAAUCGGAAUUACUGGGCGUAAAGCGUGCGUAGACGGUUAUGUAAGUCGGGUGUGA
Molecule: ribosomal RNA, 548 nt
Filed under: uncultured bacterium
Lineage: Bacteria
Description: bacterial SSU rRNA
Rfam family: Bacterial small subunit ribosomal RNA
Source: RNAcentral